This 253-nucleotide ribosomal RNA is filed under the name uncultured bacterium. Its description in RNAcentral is "partial 16S ribosomal RNA". It matches the Rfam family "Bacterial small subunit ribosomal RNA", at positions 524 to 776 of the family's 1533-position model. The record is from RNAcentral.
UACGAAGGGGGCUAGCGUUGCUCGGAUUGACUGGGCGUAAAGGGCGCGUAGGCGGUUUGCAUAGUCAGACGUGAAAUUCCCGGGCUCAACCUGGGGGCUGCACUUGAUACGUAUGGACUGGAGUGGGGAAGAGGGUCGUGGAAUUCCCAGUGUAGAGGUGAAAUUCGUAGAUAUUGGGAAGAACACCGGUGGCGAAGGCGGCGACCUGGUCCUUGACUGACGCUGAGGCGCGAAAGCGUGGGGAGCAAACAGG